This 336-nucleotide unclassified non-coding RNA is filed under the name soil metagenome. RNAcentral describes it as "partial contains 5.8S ribosomal RNA, internal transcribed spacer 2, and large subunit ribosomal RNA". The stretch from base 1 to 120 matches the Rfam family "5.8S ribosomal RNA", at positions 35 to 154 of the family's 154-position model. The record is from RNAcentral.
GAUGAAGAACGCAGCGAAAUGCGAUAAGUAAUGUGAAUUGCAGAAUUCAGUGAAUCAUCGAAUCUUUGAACGUACAUUGCGCCCGCCAGUAUUCUGGCGGGCAUGCCUGUUCGAGCGUCAUUUCAACCAUCAAGCCCCAGGCUUGUGUUGGGGACCUGCGGCUGCCGCAGGCCCUGAAAACCAGUGGCGGGCUCGCUGUCACACCGGGCGUAGUAGAUUUUAUCUCGCUCAGGGCGUGCUGCGGGUUCCGGCCGUUAAAAAGCCUUUUUUACCCAAGGUUGACCUCGGAUCAGGUAGGAAGGCCCGCUGAACUUAAGCAUAUCAAUAAGCGGAGGA